RNAcentral lists this ribosomal RNA (794 nucleotides) under uncultured bacterium. RNAcentral describes it as "bacterial SSU rRNA". It matches the Rfam family "Bacterial small subunit ribosomal RNA", at positions 8 to 796 of the family's 1533-position model. The record is from RNAcentral.
AGAGUUUGAUCAUGGCUCAGAUUGAACGCUGGCGGCAGGCUUAACACAUGCAAGUCGAGCGGGGGAGGUUACUUCGGUAACUGACCUAGCGGCGGACGGGUGAGUAAUGCUUAGGAAUCUGCCUAUUAGUGGGGGACAACAUUCCGAAAGGAAUGCUAAUACCGCAUACGCCCUACGGGGGAAAGCAGGGGAUCUUCGGACCUUGCGCUAAUAGAUGAGCCUAAGUCGGAUUAGCUAGUUGGUGGGGUAAAGGCCUACCAAGGCGACGAUCUGUAGCGGGUCUGAGAGGAUGAUCCGCCACACUGGGACUGAGACACGGCCCAGACUCCUACGGGAGGCAGCAGUGGGGAAUAUUGGACAAUGGGCGCAAGCCUGAUCCAGCCAUGCCGCGUGUGUGAAGAAGGCCUUUUGGUUGUAAAGCACUUUAAGCGAGGAGGAGGCUCCUUUAGUUAAUACCUAAAGUGAGUGGACGUUACUCGCAGAAUAAGCACCGGCUAACUCUGUGCCAGCAGCCGCGGUAAUACAGAGGGUGCGAGCGUUAAUCGGAUUUACUGGGCGUAAAGCGUGCGUAGGCGGCUUUUUAAGUCGGAUGUGAAGUCCCUGAGCUUAACUUAGGAAUUGCAUUCGAUACUGGAAAGCUAGAGUAUGGGAGAGGAUGGUAGAAAUCCAGGUGUAGCGGUGAAAUGCGUAGAGAUCUGGAGGAAUACCGAUGGCGAAGGCAGCCAUCUGGCCUAAUACUGACGCUGAGGUACGAAAGCAUGGGGAGCAAACAGGAUUAGAUACCCUGGUAGUCC